CCAGCUGACGAGUCCUAAAUAGGACGAAAUGCACAUCCUGGAU
RNAcentral lists this non-coding RNA (43 nucleotides) under Trichobilharzia regenti. Lineage: Eukaryota; Metazoa; Platyhelminthes; Trematoda; Strigeidida; Schistosomatidae. The record is from RNAcentral.